This 269-nucleotide unclassified non-coding RNA is filed under the name uncultured fungus. RNAcentral's name for it is "partial contains small subunit ribosomal RNA, internal transcribed spacer 1, and 5.8S ribosomal RNA". The stretch from base 1 to 73 matches the Rfam family "Eukaryotic small subunit ribosomal RNA", at positions 1759 to 1831 of the family's 1831-position model. Lineage: Eukaryota; Fungi. The record is from RNAcentral.
UCAAACUUGGUCAUUUAGAGGAAGUAAAAGUCGUAACAAGGUCUCCGUUGGUGAACCAGCGGAGGGAUCAUUACCGAGUUGAAAGACUCCCCAAGAACCCGCGAACCUACCCGUACGUGUUGCCUCGGCGGACGGCCCCAGGGCUCGGACCGCCCGCCGAAGGCCCCAAGCUUCUUAAUUUUACUCCGGGGACUCUCUGAGCGAUCCACGAAUCAGUUACAACUUUCAGCAACGGAUCUCUUGGCUCUGGCAUCGAUGAAGAACGCAGC